RNAcentral lists this ribosomal RNA (435 nucleotides) under uncultured bacterium. Its description in RNAcentral is "bacterial SSU rRNA". It matches the Rfam family "Bacterial small subunit ribosomal RNA", at positions 958 to 1392 of the family's 1533-position model. The record is from RNAcentral.
AACGCGAAGAACCUUACCAGGUCUUGACAUCCCACUGAUCGGUUUAGAGAUAAGCCUUUCCCUUCGGGGACAGUGGUGACAGGUGGUGCAUGGUUGUCGUCAGCUCGUGUCGUGAGAUGUUGGGUUAAGUCCCGCAACGAGCGCAACCCUUGAUCUUAGUUGCCAGCAUUCAGUUGGGCACUCUAAGGUGACUGCCGGUGAUAAACCGGAGGAAGGUGGGGAUGACGUCAAAUCAUCAUGCCCCUUAUGACCUGGGCUACACACGUGCUACAAUGGACGAUACAAAGGGCUGCAAACCCGCGAGGGGGAGCCAAUCCCAUAAAAUCGUUCUCAGUUCGGAUUGUAGGCUGCAACUCGCCUACAUGAAGCCGGAAUCGCUAGUAAUCGCGGAUCAGCAUGCCGCGGUGAAUACGUUCCCGGGCCUUGUACACACCG